RNAcentral lists this ribosomal RNA (340 nucleotides) under Nematostella vectensis (starlet sea anemone). RNAcentral's name for it is "Eukaryotic large subunit ribosomal RNA". It matches the Rfam family "Eukaryotic large subunit ribosomal RNA", at positions 24 to 358 of the family's 3401-position model. The record is from Rfam by way of RNAcentral. Lineage: Eukaryota; Metazoa; Cnidaria; Anthozoa; Actiniaria; Edwardsiidae.
CCCGCUGAAUUUAAGCAUAUUAAUAAGCGGAGGAAAAGAAACUAACAAGGAUUCCCCUAGUAAUGGCGAAUGAAGCGGGAACAGCUCAAAUUUAAAAUCUCCGUUGCUUGCAACGGCGAAUUGUAGUUUCGAGAAGCACUUUCUCGGCGGAUCCGAGGUCGUCCAAGUUGCUUGGAACAGCACGUCGUAGAGGGUGACAACCCCGUCUGCGGCGAUCUCGGCCGUUCACGAUGUGCUUUCGACGAGUCGGGUUGUUUGGGAAUGCAGCCCAAAAUGGGUGGUAAACUCCAUCUAAAGCUAAAUAUUGGCACGAGACCGAUAGCGAACAAGUACCGUGAGG